GAUGAAGAACGCAGCGAAAUGCGAUAAGUAAUGUGAAUUGCAGAAUUCAGUGAAUCAUCGAGUCUUUGAACGCACAUUGCGCCCCCUGGUAUUCCGGGGGGCAUGCCUGUCCGAGCGUCAUUGCUGCCCUCAAGCACGGCUUGUGUGUUGGGCCUCCGUCCUCCUCCCGGGGGACGGGCCCGAAAGGCAGCGGCGGCACCGCGUCCGGUCCUCGAGCGUAUGGGGCUUCGUCACCCGCUCUUGUAGGCCCGGCCGGCGCUUGCCGACACAUCAAUCUUUUUUCCAGGUUGACCUCGGAUCGGGUAGGGAUACCCGCUGAACUUAAGCAUAUCAAUAAGCGGAGGA
RNAcentral lists this unclassified non-coding RNA (345 nucleotides) under soil metagenome. RNAcentral's name for it is "partial contains 5.8S ribosomal RNA, internal transcribed spacer 2, and large subunit ribosomal RNA". The stretch from base 1 to 120 matches the Rfam family "5.8S ribosomal RNA", at positions 35 to 154 of the family's 154-position model. The record is from RNAcentral.